UUGUGUGCUUGCAUCCAAUUGUGAUAAGCCUAUGUAUCUCUAGUUGGUAGAGGUCCUUUAUGUUUAACACUAAACUGACCUAAUUAAGAUUGAUGACAAGAAACUAGGGGACUGGGCAGGGCUCUGUAAAACCAAAGGAUAAAAUCCUAUAAAGUGAUUGAGUGCAGUUUUGUAGUAUUUAAGGACUGUGGUAAUCUGAGGAUAUGGAUUUCAUUAAAGAGUACUUCAAAUGCAA
This 235-nucleotide long non-coding RNA is filed under the name Homo sapiens (human). Its description in RNAcentral is "non-protein coding lnc-FAM181B-7:1". Lineage: Eukaryota; Metazoa; Chordata; Mammalia; Primates; Hominidae. The record is from RNAcentral.